UACGUAGGGUCCGAGCGUUGUCCGGAGUUACUGGGCGUAAAGCGCGCGCAGGCGGCUCGGCAAGCAUGGCGUGAAAGCCCCCGGCUCAACCGGGGAGGGUCGUCGUGGACUGCCGGGCUUGAGGGCGGGAGGGGCUGGUGGAAUUCCCGGUGUAGUGGUGAAAUGCGUAGAGAUCGAGAGGAACACCAGUGGCGAAGGCGAGUCCCUGGACAACUCCUGACACUGAGGCACGAAAGCUAGGGGAGCAAACAGG
Molecule: ribosomal RNA, 253 nt
Filed under: uncultured bacterium
Lineage: Bacteria
Description: partial 16S ribosomal RNA
Rfam family: Bacterial small subunit ribosomal RNA
Source: RNAcentral